Molecule: ribosomal RNA, 30 nt
Filed under: Trichomonas gallinae
Lineage: Eukaryota; Parabasalia; Trichomonadida; Trichomonadidae
Description: partial 28S ribosomal RNA
Source: RNAcentral
UACGUAGUCUGCUGCAUGCAGGAAGACCCG